UCCUUGGUCUCUUCCACAGGAUGCAGAAU
This 29-nucleotide non-coding RNA is filed under the name Rattus norvegicus (Norway rat). The record is from RNAcentral. Lineage: Eukaryota; Metazoa; Chordata; Mammalia; Rodentia; Muridae.